GAUCCUGGCUCAGAAUCAACGCUGGCGGCGUGCCUCAGACAUGCAAGUCGAACGAGAACCUCCCUUCGGGGAGGGGACAGUGGCGCACGGGUGAGUAACACGUGGGUAAUUUACCUUUGGGUGGGGAACAACAGCCGGAAACGGCUGCUAAUACCGCAUAAUGCAGCGGCUCGACAUCGAGACAGUUGUUAAAGCGGGGGAUCGCAAGACCUCGCGCCUAAAGAGAAGCCCGCGGCAGAUUAGCUAGUUGGUAGGGUAAUGGCCUACCAAGGCGACGAUCUGUAACCGGCCUGAGAGGGCGGUCGGUCACACUGACACUGACAUACGGGUCAGACUCCUACGGGAGGCAGCAGUCGGGAAUUUUGGGCAAUGGGCGAAAGCCUGACCCAGCAACGCCGCGUGAAGGAUGAAGCUUUUCGGAGUGUAAACUUCACAAGAAUGGGAAGAAUAAGAAUAGGAUAAUACCCUGUUCGAUGACGGUACCAUUUGUAAGCUCCGGCUAACUCCGUGCCAGCAGCCGCGGUAAUACGGGGGGAGCAAGCGUUGUUCGGAUUUACUGGGCGUAAAGGGCGCGUAGGCGGCGCGACAAGUCACUUGUGAAAUCUCUGGGCUCAACCCAGAACGGUCAAGUGAUACUGUCGUGCUAGAGUGCGGAAGGGGCAACUGGAAUUCUUGGUGUAGCGGUGAAGA
This 690-nucleotide ribosomal RNA is filed under the name uncultured Acidobacteriota bacterium. RNAcentral describes it as "bacterial SSU rRNA". It matches the Rfam family "Bacterial small subunit ribosomal RNA", at positions 15 to 687 of the family's 1533-position model. Lineage: Bacteria; Pseudomonadati; Acidobacteriota. The record is from RNAcentral.